GCUAUUUUAGCUCUGUUGGUAGAGCAUUAGACUCCUAAUUCAAGGAUUGUGGGUUUGAUAUCCACACAUGCCAGCC
Non-coding RNA from Potamilus streckersoni, 76 nucleotides. NCBI's taxonomy places the organism in Eukaryota, Metazoa, Mollusca, Bivalvia, Unionida, Unionidae. The record is from the annotation of a GenBank genome assembly.